Molecule: ribosomal RNA, 497 nt
Filed under: uncultured bacterium
Lineage: Bacteria
Description: partial 16S ribosomal RNA
Rfam family: Bacterial small subunit ribosomal RNA
Source: RNAcentral
GAUGAACGCUGGCGGCGUGCCUAAUACAUGCAAGUCGAGCGAACGGACGAGAAGCUUGCUUCUCUGAUGUUAGCGGCGGACGGGUGAGUAACACGUGGAUAACCUACCUAUAAGACUGGUAUAACUUCGGGAAACCGUAGCUAAUACCGGAUAAUAUUUUGAACCGCAUGGUUCAAAAGUUAAAGACGGUCUUGCAGUCACUUAUAGAUGGAUCCGCGCUGCAUUAGCUAGUUGGUAAGGUAACGGCUUACCAAGGCAACGAUGCAUAGCCGACCUGAGAGGGUGGUCGGCCACACUGGAACUGAGACACGGUCCAGACUCCUACGGGAGGCAGCAGUAGGGAAUCUUCCGCAAUGGGCGAAAGCCUGACGGAGCAACGCCGCGUGAGUGAUGAAGGUCUUCGGAUCGUAAAACUCUGUUAUUAGGGAAGAACAUAUGUGUAAGUAACUGUGCACAUCUUGACGGUACCUAAUCAGAAAGCCACGGCUAACUACGUG